AUUGAACGCUGGCGGCAUGCCUUACACAUGCAAGUCGAACGGUAACAGGUCUUCGGAUGCUGACGAGUGGCGAACGGGUGAGUAAUACAUCGGAACGUGCCCGAUCGUGGGGGAUAACGCAGCGAAAGCUGUGCUAAUACCGCAUACGAUCUACGGAUGAAAGCGGGGGAUCGCAAGACCUCGCGCGGACGGAGCGGCCGAUGGCAGAUUAGGUAGNGGUGGGGUAAAGGCUCACCAAGCCUUCGAUCUGUAGCUGGUCUGAGAGGACGACCAGCCACACUGGGACUGAGACACGGCCCAGACUCCUACGGGAGG
This 315-nucleotide ribosomal RNA is filed under the name uncultured bacterium. RNAcentral's name for it is "bacterial SSU rRNA". It matches the Rfam family "Bacterial small subunit ribosomal RNA", at positions 30 to 348 of the family's 1533-position model. The record is from RNAcentral.